This 75-nucleotide transfer RNA is filed under the name Merluccius polli (Benguela hake). Its description in RNAcentral is "tRNA-Val". Lineage: Eukaryota; Metazoa; Chordata; Actinopteri; Gadiformes; Merlucciidae. The record is from RNAcentral.
GGUCCUGACUAGCUCAACUGGUAGAGCAUGGCAUUAACGUUGCCAGGGUUAGGAGUUCGAUUCCCUCAAGGACCA